RNAcentral lists this ribosomal RNA (1341 nucleotides) under uncultured bacterium. Its description in RNAcentral is "partial 16S ribosomal RNA". It matches the Rfam family "Bacterial small subunit ribosomal RNA", at positions 28 to 1381 of the family's 1533-position model. The record is from RNAcentral.
GACGAACUCUGGCGGCGUGCUUAACACAUGCAAGUCGAACGGUAAGGCUCCAGCUUGCUGGGGUACACGAGUGGCGAACGGGUGAGUAACACGUGGGUGACCUGCCCUGCACUUCGGGAUAAGCCUGGGAAACUGGGUCUAAUACCGGAUAGGACCGCACCGUGAGGGUGUGGUGGAAAGUUUUUUCGGUGUGGGAUGGGCCCGCGGCCUAUCAGCUUGUUGGUGGGGUAAUGGCCUACCAAGGCGGCGACGGGUAGCCGGCCUGAGAGGGUGGACGGCCACAUUGGGACUGAGACACGGCCCAGACUCCUACGGGAGGCAGCAGUGGGGAAUAUUGCACAAUGGGCGGAAGCCUGAUGCAGCGACGCCGCGUGGGGGAUGACGGCCUUCGGGUUGUAAACUCCUUUCACCAUCGACGAAGGGUUUCUGACGGUAGAUGGAGAAGAAGCACCGGCUAACUACGUGCCAGCAGCCGCGGUAAUACGUAGGGUGCGAGCGUUGUCCGGAAUUACUGGGCGUAAAGAGCUCGUAGGUGGUUUGUCGCGUCGUCUGUGAAAUUCCGGGGCUUAACUCCGGGCGUGCAGGCGAUACGGGCAUAACUUGAGUACUGUAGGGGAGACUGGAAUUCCUGGUGUAGCGGUGAAAUGCGCAGAUAUCAGGAGGAACACCGGUGGCGAAGGCGGGUCUCUGGGCAGUAACUGACGCUGAGGAGCGAAAGCAUGGGGAGCGAACAGGAUUAGAUACCCUGGUAGUCCAUGCCGUAAACGGUGGGCGCUAGGUGUGGGUUUCCUUCCACGGGAUCCGUGCCGUAGCUAACGCAUUAAGCGCCCCGCCUGGGGAGUACGGCCGCAUGGCUAAAACUCAAAGGAAUUGACGGGGGCCCGCACAAGCGGCGGAGCAUGUGGAUUAAUUCGAUGCAACGCGGAGAACCUUACCUGGGCUUGACAUAUACAGGAUCGCGCCAGAGAUGGUGUUUCCCUUGUGGCUUGUAUACAGGUGGUGCAUGGUUGUCGUCAGCUCGUGUCGUGAGAUGUUGGGUUAAGUCCCGCAACGAGCGCAACCCUUGUCUUAUGUUGCCAGCACGUUGUGGUGGGGACUCGUAAGAAACUGCCGGGGUUAACUCGGAGGAAGGUGGGGAUGACGUCAAAUCAUCAUGCCCCUUAUGUCCAGGGCUUCACACAUGCUACAAUGGUCGGUACAGUGGGUUGCCAGUCCGUGAGGGCGAGCUAAUCCCGCAAAGCCGGUCUCAGUUCGGAUCGGGGUCUGCAACUCGACCCCGUGAAGUCGGAGUCGCUAGUAAUCGCAGAUCAGCAACGCUGCGGUGAAUACGUUCCCGGGCCU